Molecule: non-coding RNA, 7084 nt
Organism: Xyrichtys novacula (pearly razorfish)
Lineage: Eukaryota; Metazoa; Chordata; Actinopteri; Labriformes; Labridae
Source: the annotation of a GenBank genome assembly
GGGGCACAAUGGGCAUUUAUCAUCCUCCCCGCCGUGUGUGUGUGAGCUGAGUGUGUGCGUGUGUGUGUAAAUCAGUGUGUUUAUUCAAAUCUCAGUACCAUGAGCGGACCGGCCCCACUCCCGAGCUCUCCCCCGGUGACACGGACGCACCGACCGGGGCUCAUUGUUGGAGGAGCCCCAGAAAAAGCCCCCAGACACGGCAGGUCGGAGGAGGAGAGGAGACGGAGCGGCAGAAGGAGUCGGAGGAGUGCGCGGCGGAGGCGGUCGGGGUUUCUCUCCGUCCUCCGUGUGACCAUCCGCGGGGAUCCAGCAUCCAGCCUCCCUCCCUCCCUCCAUCAUCAGUCGCUUUUCCGGCCGCUGGAGCAGCUUUUCCCGGUUCCAUGUCUCCCUCCUGGAUGUACCCGCGGAGGAGGAGGAACAGGAGGAGCAGGUGCAUCACGGUGCAACCUGCAGCACGUUUCCCCUUUUUCUCUGCAGGUUUGUUGAGCUGAAAAAAAGCGCUAAAGAUGGUUAGAGGCAUCUUUUUUGGAGCUUUUCUGGGGGGGAGGAGGGGGACUACAGGGUUAGAAAGGAUGGACGAGAAAGAUGCGUGUGAACAGGUGCAGAUAUGGCGGAGAGGAGUUUGGAUUUCCGGGAUUUCCCUCUUUUUUUCUGCUCCUGAACUCACCGCCUCGCAGUGAGCGCUGUUCGAGCGGAUCCUGCACAUCCUCUCGGCUCUGGGAUCGUUUCUGAUAAAUUGAGAGCUGCUAAUUAGCGGCUGUAAUUGGAUAAUAUGUCUGAUGAUGUGUUGUGUGAGUGUGAGCACGCUGCUGCUGCUCACUUCACUCUGAGCUCACAUUGAUAAAGGAGACUCUUUGGGGCCUUUUUCAAUCCUUCUCUCUCUUUCUCUCUCCUGCUUUUUGUUCGUUUGGCUCUUUCUGCGUAAAAGUUGCUUUUCUUUGUGUGUUUGAGCUCUAGCUGCUGAUUGUCCAAACGCAAUUCUUGUGAAAUCUCGAAUCCAAACCGAGAAUUGUGCCUGGACAUCUGUUGCUGGAAACUCCUGCCCUUCUCCCGGAUCAAUCUGAAUGUUCUUCUCCGCAUGUUUUCCGUUUUGGUUCAUUCGGUUCGCACAUGUCCAUCCUUUUCUCAUCCUUCAAAUUUAUGUUCUCGUGGGUUUUUCUAUUUCAGGGCCUCUUGAAGGGCCACGGUCCUUUCCUGCCGUCUUAAUUGGACUAUAAUCAGCCCUUUAAUGAACUUUAAUUCUCUAAAAUUUCCCUCCUUUCACUGAUGAAGUGAAGCAGAAAAGCUUAGACUCUCACUUUCUGUCGCUCAGUUUGCAGCAGGCCUGCAGGAAAGAGAGGCCAACCCAAAAAAGAAAGAGUGAUAAUUAAGUAUUUUACAAGCUGGGCCGUUUUUUUCUAACUUGUUGGGCUGAGACUAAGAUUUCGCAGCUCCUCUCUUUCUCCUGCAGAUAAAAAAGAAAACCUCUGUGACGGUUUAUUGUCGCUCCACUGCAGAGCCUUUGUUGCCGCCCUUUGUUGCCGUUUUGGGGAUUAUAAUUUGCAUAAUUCUUCAGGAAUGUAUCAUUUUAAUUUUGUUUAACAAACCGUGACCUUUUCCAAGGCCUUUAUCCUUUUAGACAGGAUGCCAUUACAAGCCAAUAAAGAGCAGCACGUUUGUUCUGAUCUUGAUGUUGAUGAAUAAUAAAGAAUCCAUGCAUGAUCUCUGGAAGUAUCACAUUAUUUUCCUUUUUUGCACGUCCGUCCAUCUGUCCUGCUUUCAUUUCAGCCCACAUGCAUGCAUAUUUUUCCAUUAAAAUCUUAUUUUAUUUGUGCUCUGCAAGUUGAAGAAAUACAAGAUAAAUUUAUUUAAGCAUUUUGAGCAAGAAAAUCUGCAGAUGCAAUGUUUAGCUUAAAUGAUUUUCUGAAUUUAUUUUUGGAAGAAGAAUUUCACUUUGAAUCCAAAAUAAAAUUCAUUUGUGGCUUCGAUGAAAUUUUCAGGAAGUAAAAUCUGAAUUAAGGGGGAGAGGAAAAGAUUUUGUUAACAGAGAAGCACGUGCAAAAUCAAAAGAGGCAUCAAACAGGACAAUCUAUGGUUCUUUUUUGUAAAAAUGUAAGUGUUGGAAAAAUGAGGACAAAAUUUGAGUGUCAGCGUUUGUUAAUUUUGAGGAAAAAAAUUAGUUUCUGCCUGACAAUGAUUUAAUUUUUUGUCAAAGUGAAGGUCUGCUAGGAAGGGAGAUUUAAAAAGUGUAGUCUGCGUUGAGGGAGAGUCAAAUCUUAAUUUAGUUUACAUUAAUAUAUAUAUAUAUAUAUAUAUAUAUAUAUAUAUAUAUAUAUAUAUAUAUACAUAUUAAUGUAAACUAAAUUCAGAUUUUUUAUAAACCAAAGGAUGAGAGACUUUUUAAUUUCAGUCAAAAGUUCUCCUUGGCUCUGACAUCAGUGACCAGUGACAGGAAUCUCUUCACUGUCAAUUGAACAGCAAACCAAACCCUCACUUUGACUUUGGCGCGUUGGGUUUUGAGGACAGGGGUCUGUUUGAUUUUCACACCGCAGCGUCACGGCGGCUCAGUGUGUCGGGUCUGCUCAGACUAAUUUUCUUUUGUGAUCUGCACAGCGAGGACCAGGAGCUCAGAGCAGGACAGUGGAUUAGAUAAAACACUGUGUGUGUGUGUGUGUGUGUGUGUGUGUGUGUGUGUGUGUGUGUGUGUGUGUGUGUGUGUGUGUGUGUGUGUGUGUGUGGUGCCCAGUUCAAAUCCCACCACCCAAGUUGGGGAGGAAAACUCACAGGUCCUCUGAUGACUGAGUGCCAGUGAACGCCUCGUGUCUGCAGGAUCAGUCUGCCGUUAAAAAAAAUCAAAUGCAUGAGAACAGGAAGGAAAGGAAAGGAAAGGAAUAUAUAUCAAAUAAAGAUUCUCUCAGAUUUUAUCACAUUGUUGAGACUAAACCAGAGAAAUCCCAAGAACCCUCCUCUGAAUAAAACACAGUCUUAAAUGAUCCACAUUUAAAUCACCUUCAGAGCAGAAGAUCUGAGAAAAAACGGAUCCCAGAUUUUAACUUCUACAAAUCUCAACAAAAAAGAGAAAUUAUUUUGUGGUGUAAAAAGUCCUCUACAUGGUUGUUAGGUGUCAUUUUGGUGUCAAAGUUAUAAAAGCCUUCUGCGAAAAAAAAAAAUGCUGUCAGAAAAUCUAAAUGAGCAUCAUAAGGAUAAAAAACAAGUCCUGAAAAGUGUCAAAAAUGAUGUUUGAUUCUAAAAUUCACACUUUCAGUUUGAGCUGAGAAACUUUUAUAGAACUCAAGUAUCCAAUCAGUCACCUCAGAGGAUUUUUAUGAUGAAAUGAAAACCAGGCCUUGAAAAUAAACCACAAGAUUAAUAUGAUCCUGAUUACAGGCCUGUAGGAUUGAAAUAUUUCCAAAAGGAAACACAAAAAUAAAGAAAUGUCAAGAUAAAUCUAUAAAAAAAUAGUUCACUCGGGCUCUAUCUGAGCUGCGGAAUAAUUCAUUCUGUGUGACCACUUGGCUCAAACCUGUGGCUCCCUCUGGGUGCCCUGAACCACAGAUUAAGAGACAGGCUUGAUCUGAAGUCUAAUGUUGAAUAAUUUCAAUCUUUAAACAUGCAGACAGUCCGACUUAAAGACUCAAAUGAAAAAAAGAAUUGGGAGGCAAAUGAGAUUUUGGGGACAUAUUUUGGGCACAUCUGGUGAUAAGAAUUCCAAACAGUGACCCAGUUUAAACUCUAAAUGAUUUUAAAAACUGAAGUCUAAAUAUUCCUCAUUUCUGAGAUGACAGGCUCCUGCGUCCUCCUGAUGUUGCUUUCAGGUGCUCCCUCAGCUCAGCCAAAAAGAGAAAUUGAUCAGAAUCGACAGAAAAUAUUGAUGACAAAGAAAUGUUGAGGAAACAAUUAGGAGAGCAGCGUAAUGAUUGCAGAGAUCAUUAGAGACAUUUAACCUCGCUGACGUCUGCUGAUGAGGUAUAUAGACUGAUCCACAAACCUGCUUUCCACCAAAUAUCUUAUAUUUCAUUGUAUCCCUCCUCUCUGUAAACUCAGUUUGUCUCAUAAUCUCUGUUUUUCAUGUGACAUCUGCAGAAACUAGUCAGAGCUGUGAAUCAGGUAGAAAAUCAUAGAUAAAAAGAAUCUGCAAAGUCUUAUUUUACAUUUCAGGAUUGAAGCUGCAACGCAAGAAACCAUUUUGUACUCUCUAAUGUAAAAGAAAAAUUAAAUGUUUUGGGGGGAUUACAUUUCUUUUGCAUUUUGAGAAUUUUGCAAGAUUCCCCUCAGAUUUUAUUUUUUUCUGUAGCUCAGUGAAAAUAUAUUAAUUCAGUUGGGGAGUUUGCACUAUUUUCUCAAAAUGCAAAGUAAAAAGAAGAAAAUCUUUCAACGCUGAAAGACUGACUUCAUUACUCACAUUUUAACCAGAUUUAUUCUCAACUUUAUUAAAUUCGUAUUUUUCUUUAUUUAUUUUCAUCAUGUGGAUCAUUAUUAUCUGUACACACUGCAAAAAAAAACAAACAAAAAAAAUUUUUUUUUCCUUAAACCAAAAUCUCUGCAUUUUAUAUUGCAUUGUUUGUUGCAUUUAAACGCAGGUCAGCUAAUUUAUUAUUACUCAUUUAGUGAUCAGCUGAUGAGCCAUUUAAUGAACUGAUGUCUUUUUUUAGGUUCAAACUCUGCAGCAGUUGCAUUUUUUUUUUUUUUUUGCAGCUUUGAACUGCCAAAUUUGAACACUUUGACUUUAAACUGCAGCAACAAAACCCUGUUAAUCUGAGACUAUUGCCUUUUUCUUUCCUUGCAAAAAUCUGGAUCAUACUUUGAGUAUAAGUGGAGAUUUACUGAUGUGCCAGUAUGUUUAAUAUAAUGUCUGUCUAGCUGUAUGCAAAAUAUUAUCCGUAUAGUCUGUCAGUAUUUGCAAACAAUAGUUUAAAAAUUGUGUACUGUACAAUGUCUGCAGAAUCUCUUCUGGAAAGGUGAUCCAUUGAAUAUGUGCACGCCAUGAAAACAUACAUGUGCAAACAUGUUGACUCUAUUAUUAACAAACAGCAGGCACAUUACCAAGUGCAUACUUAGAAAAAUGAAUAUUUGAUUGUUUAUGAUUCAAUCAAUUGUUGGAUGUUUUUGACUUUCCGAAUAAGAGUAACAGGUCAAUGCUCGCUCUGAGGAAACUGACAAAAAUGGUGUAUAUGUGUCAGCACCAGUCUGAGUAGUUCAAAUGAGUUUAAAAAUGUCUGUACAUCAAAAUCCAGUCUUAUGAAUCCCUGAUUGUGCCUCCAUAUUCAGAUGGUAUCAGAGUAUUCUCAGAUAUGAUGGUUAAAAACUCUGUGAUUGAAAAAAAUCCAGAACCAGUCACGCGAGUCACACUUUGUCUGCUGUGCUUUAUGUCCUUAAGUUUGAAUAUUCAGACUUAUUUAUGAUUAAAAGGCCUUAAAAUCAUCAUCGAGUCAGUUUGUGGUUCAGCUCAAGAAUAUCAAGUAAGAACAUAACAGACAAACAGAGACAGAAAUCUAAAAUCAUCCAAAACAGCUGACCUAAAUAUCCUCCCAGUCCAGAGACGUGUUUGAAAUGCAUGUUCAACUGUCUAAUGUAAAUAAAUCGUUAUGAUCACAAUGAAUGAGCUGCAUGUUAGCCUGUAUUGAAAGUUUCCUGGAUCCCUAAUACCUAGAAUCCUCUAAUCUGCCUGAAUGGAGUUAUUGCAAUGAAGAUGAGAUUUAAGUCUUCAUACAAUGAGAAUGAAGUCGAAGAAAUAUUACACAAGUAAAGUAAUUAUGUUACAAGAAAAAGAAAAAACAUAAGAUCAAAAUCAUCAUUGUUCUUUCAUCAAUAUUUAAGCACAUGAAGCUGUUUUGGAGGGAGGUUCUCAGUCUUUGUCCUGAUUGUGAAAAUCCUGUGGAGCUGAGGAGAAAAAAAGAAAAAGACUUUUAUUCUUCGUAAAAAUCUUGACCACACUUGAAGCCCUCACUCCUCAGACAGCUGACUGCUGCUCACCAUGAACCAGAACCACUUUAUUCUCACAGAACGUGAGGACUUAAUUAAUGAACUCUUAAAAAGACACUAUCUGACUAUUAAUUUUUAUUUGUAAAUAAAAACUAAUAUAAACUUUAAUAAUAACCAAAGCUCAAGUUAAAUCUCACCAGAAAGUGACGUCCUCUUCGUGACAUGAGAAUUAAAUCCCAAACCGACCUAUAAUGAUAACAAAACUUUCUCCCUUUAAACAAAUCAUUUCAGUCUUAUCAAAGAACGACUUUGUUCCUGUAACAUAUGGUCUUUUUUCCUGUUUCAAAGUAAAGUCAAUCUCGUUGAAUAAGGACUUUAUUCUCCUCACUUUAUUCUAAGAAGAAAUAAAAGAAAAACUUUAUUAAUCCCCAAAGGAAAUUUCAAUUGUCUGUUGUCUCACAUAAUAUGUCUCUAAAAUGUAUCUAUUAUUUACACAAGAGUUAUAAAGCCUGAUGGCUGUUGGUACAGUAUUUUUUUUUUUUCUCAAUCUUUAUAAACAUAUUUUUCGAACACGGUUGAAAAACAAACUCUCUCGGUGUGUUUUUGAAUUCUUCGUUGUAGAUCCCUAGACUUCUGAAACUCCUCAGACCUAAAUCCUCAUGAAGUCUUUUACAGUCAAACCACAGAGUUAAAAAAAAGGGGGACUACAGGUGCUUACUGUUGUUAGCUGCUUAGCUAACUGGUACUUCCACUUUCUUUUCAACUGAUCCCUUAUCAGUUCAGCGGUCGUCUGUCCUUUAUGUUUAUGCUUCAUGUUUAUCAUUGGUGUCUUUAUUUUCAGUGAUGAAGUCCUUAAGUAUCUUCAGGAACAGCUGAUGUCUGCAUUAUUCAGGAAUCUUUCAAUUAGACUCAAACUGUAAAGGGAGACUAUUUUGAGGUUUGAUUUAUAUUCUAAAAAUGCACCCCCCUCAGUGUAGGAGCCUGUUUUUUAACACUAAGUGAACUCUUUUUCUCCACAGGUCGUCCUAGACUCUCCUCUUCACAAAGAUCUGAGUUUAUCUCAAGGUUUUGACCUAAGAGCAGGACUCCAUCCUCUGCAGCAUUGAAAAGGCUCACAACAAGGUGUUUGCACACACUGAUGUUACGUUGAGAGACAUGGAAACAGCCUGAAUCUUCAUUUCUC